UACAGAGGUGGCAAGCGUUGUUCGGAAUUACUGGGCGUAAAGGGCGCGUAGGCGGCCAUCUAAGUCAGACGUGAAAUCCCCCGGCUUAACCUGGGAACUGCGUCUGAUACUGGAAGGCUUGAGUAUGGGAGAGGGAUGAAGAAUUCCAGGUGUAGCGGUGAAAUGCGUAGAUAUCUGGAGGAAUACCGGUGGCGAAGGCGGCAUCCUGGACCAUUACUGACGCUGAGGCGCGAAAGCUAGGGGAGCAAACGGG
Molecule: ribosomal RNA, 253 nt
Filed under: uncultured bacterium
Lineage: Bacteria
Description: partial 16S ribosomal RNA
Rfam family: Bacterial small subunit ribosomal RNA
Source: RNAcentral